UUUGCCUACGGGAGGCAGCAGUGAGGAAUAUUGGUCAAUGGGCGAGAGCCUGAACCAGCCAAGUCGCGUGAGGGAGUACUGCCCUAUGGGUUGUAAACCUCUUUUGUCGGGGAGCAAAAGCCGGACGUGUCCGUCUGUGAGAGUACCCGAAGAAAAAGCAUCGGCUAACUCCGUGCCAGCAGCCGCGGUAAUACGGAGGAUGCGAGCGUUAUCCGGAUUUAUUGGGUUUAAAGGGUGCGCAGGCGGAGGUGCAAGUCAGCGGUCAAAUUGCGGGGCUCAACCCCGUACUGCCGUUGAAACUGCAU
RNAcentral lists this ribosomal RNA (305 nucleotides) under uncultured bacterium. Its description in RNAcentral is "bacterial SSU rRNA". It matches the Rfam family "Bacterial small subunit ribosomal RNA", at positions 334 to 638 of the family's 1533-position model. The record is from RNAcentral.